CCGUUCUUGUGUUAUUCGCUAAGCGAUCACCCAAGCUCAGCGAUUGUCAAACAGAACGUAAAUUAACGGCCGCUAAUCACUCCACAAUGUUGAGCCGACUUGCCACGGCUACUGCAUUACUAUCCUAUGCGCCACAUU
RNAcentral lists this small nucleolar RNA (138 nucleotides) under Drosophila erecta. RNAcentral describes it as "snoRNA:GG25839". It matches the Rfam family "Small nucleolar RNA psi18S-1377". From Rfam's summary of the family: psi18S-1377 is a member of the H/ACA class of snoRNA. Lineage: Eukaryota; Metazoa; Arthropoda; Insecta; Diptera; Drosophilidae. The record is from RNAcentral.